UACGUAGGUGGCAAGCGUUGUCCGGAUUUACUGGGCGUAAAGCGCACGUAGGCGGAUCGUUAAGUCGGGGGUGAAAUCCUGGAGCUCAACUCCAGAACUGCCUUCGAUACUGGCGAUCUCGAGUUCGGGAGAGGUGAGUGGAACUGCGAGUGUAGAGGUGAAAUUCGUAGAUAUUCGCAAGAACACCAGUGGCGAAGGCGGCUCACUGGCCCGAUACUGACGCUGAGGUGCGAAAGCGUGGGGAGCAAACAGG
Molecule: ribosomal RNA, 253 nt
Filed under: uncultured bacterium
Lineage: Bacteria
Description: partial 16S ribosomal RNA
Rfam family: Bacterial small subunit ribosomal RNA
Source: RNAcentral